RNAcentral lists this ribosomal RNA (422 nucleotides) under uncultured bacterium. Its description in RNAcentral is "partial 16S ribosomal RNA". It matches the Rfam family "Bacterial small subunit ribosomal RNA", at positions 360 to 774 of the family's 1533-position model. The record is from RNAcentral.
AAUCUUCCACAAUGGGCGAAAGCCUGAUGGAGCAACGCCCCGUGAGUGAAGAAGGCUUUCGGAUCGUAAAACUCUGUUGUAAGGGAAGAACAAGUACAGUAUUAACUGGCUGUACCUGGUCGGUACCUUAUUAGAAAGCCACGGCUAACUACGUGUCACCAGCCGCGGUAAUACGUAGGGGGCAAGCGUUGUCAGGAAUUAUUGGGCGUAAAGAGCGCGCAGGCGGUCCUUGAGGUAUGAUGUGAAAGCCAACGGCUCAACCGUGGAGGGUCAUUGGAAACUGGGGGACUUGAGUGCAGAAGAGGAAAGUGGAAUUCCAAGUGUAGCGGUGAAAUGCGUAGAGAUUUGGAGGAACACCAGUGGCGAAGGAGACUUUCUGGUCUGUAACUGACGCUGAGGCGCGAAAGCGUGGGGAGCAAACA